This 792-nucleotide ribosomal RNA is filed under the name uncultured Entrophospora. Its description in RNAcentral is "SSU rRNA". It matches the Rfam family "Eukaryotic small subunit ribosomal RNA", at positions 325 to 1111 of the family's 1831-position model. The record is from RNAcentral. Lineage: Eukaryota; Fungi; Glomeromycota; Glomeromycetes; Entrophosporales; Entrophosporaceae.
AUGGUAGGAUAGAGGCCUACCAUGGUGGUAACGGGUAACGGGGAAUUAGGGUUCGAUUCCGGAGAGGGAGCCUGAGAAACGGCUACCACUUCCAAGGAAGGCAGCAGGCGCGCAAAUUACCCAAUCCCGACACGGGGAGGUAGUGACAAUAAAUAACAAUACGGGGCUCUUUAGGGUCUCGUAAUUGGAAUGAGUACAAUUUAAAUCCCUUAACGAGGAACAAUUGGAGGGCAAGUCUGGUGCCAGCAGCCGCGGUAAUUCCAGCUCCAAUAGCGUAUAUNAAAGUUGUUGCAGUUAAAAAGCUCGUAGUUGAAUUUCGGGAUCGACGUGACGGUCGUGCCUUACGGGGCAUGAACUGUCGUAGUUGAUUUCUCACCUUCUGGAGAAGCUCGAUGUCCUUAAUUGGGUGUCUUGCGGAACCAGGACCUUUACCUUGAAAAAAUUAGAGUGUUUAAAGCAGGCAUUUUUGCUCGAAUACAUUAGCAUGGAAUAAUAGAAUAGGACGGCAUGGUUCUAUUUUGUUGGUUUCUAGGAUCACCGUAAUGGUUAAUAGGGAUAGUUGGGGGCAUUAGUAUUCAAUUGUCAGAGGUGAAAUUCUUGGAUUUAUUGAAGACUAACUACUGCGAAAGCAUUUGCCAAGGAUGUUUUCAUUAAUCAAGAACGAAAGUUAGGGGAUCGAAGACGAUCAGAUACCGUCGUAGUCUUAACCAUAAACUAUGCCGACUAGGAAUCAGACGAUGUUAAUUUUUUAAUGACUCGUUUGGCACCUUACGGGAAACCAAAGUGUUUGGG